Molecule: non-coding RNA, 45 nt
Filed under: Echinostoma caproni
Lineage: Eukaryota; Metazoa; Platyhelminthes; Trematoda; Plagiorchiida; Echinostomatidae
Source: RNAcentral
GCAUUACUGACGAGUCCCAAACAGGACGAAACAAAUGUUCAGUGC